Non-coding RNA from Macaca mulatta (Rhesus monkey), 1856 nucleotides. The record is from RefSeq and is a predicted model, not a curated record. Lineage: Eukaryota; Metazoa; Chordata; Mammalia; Primates; Cercopithecidae.
CUUGGAAGGCUGAAAUGGGAGGACUGCUUGAGCCAGGAGUUCAGGGCUGCAGUGAGCUACACCUUAAGGCAGGGUAGGCAGUCAAGGAAGCGAACAUGUCCUUGAGAUGUGCCAAUCAGGGCACUGAGACACGUGAUGUGUGAACCACCAUGUACAGCUACUGCACAUAUGCACCCAAAGGACAGCCCAAAACAUGCUUAUACCUCUUUCCAUGCAGAGGCUGCCAUGAGGCAGGAGCUGGCCCUGGAGUGGCCGUAUUGACCUCAACUUGGGCCCGGAGAGGCCGACUGGAGGAAAUGCUGGGCCUGGAGAGGAUGCAAAGCAGGAAACGCUAGGCCUGGAAAGGCUGCCAUCGAGGCAUGAGCUUGGCCUACGGAGGCCACUAGGAGGCAGGAGCUGGGCCUGCAGAGGCCACCAAAAGGCAGGAGCUUGGCCUGAGGGGGAAACAGCGAGGCAAGAGGCAGGACUGGUGAGGGCCCACUGUGAGCUAGAGGCUGGGCUUGGAAAGGCCACCCACAGGUAGGGGCUGGGCCUGGAGAGGCCAUGAGAGGCAUGAGCUGGGCCCCAAUGGGCCAGCGUGAGGGUGAACCUCGGCCCAGUGAGGCCAGUGUGAGGCAGGAGCUCACACCUCUGGGUGGGCUGCGAGAGCAUUAGUUGGGCCAAAACAGGCCAUGGUGCUGGAGGAGCUGAGCCUGUCGAGGCUGCCGGAGGGCAGGCAGGCAGGAACCGAGGUGUCUGCUGGGUGCACAAGGGGCCUUCCUACCAGAGGGCAGGCCAGAUAAGGGUCAGGCUGUCAGGGUGCUCACUCCUGGUGCUUUGGCUCUUGUAGGUGCAGCUCAGUGCACAGACGUCACUGGGGCCUGUGUCUGACUUCUACACAUUCCUAGUGGGGAUCUGCACUGUGGCUGUCACUGAGAGCCAGUUCCUCAUCAAUGGGAAACCUUUGUAUUUUCACGGCUUCAACAAACACGAGGAUGCAGAUGUACAUUGGCACUCCUAGGUCCUCAUGGGGUCUGCUUCUGGUCACCUUUCACUUUCGCCUUCCCUGUGUCCCACAGUUGAGGGCAAUGAGGCAAAUGGCUCCAAACUGCCUUGUGGUGGAGCUGGUGCUUGGGCUGGAGAGGGGGCUCGUGGGGUGGCUCUCCAGGGUCCUAGUUCUUGGAGGAAGUGCAACUUUGACAGGGAAAGGGUCACAUGGCUCUGCUGUCUCCUAGAUCUGAGGGAAGGGCUUUGAUGGGCUGCUGCUGGUGAAGGACUUCAACCUGCUUUGCUUCCUUGGUGUCAACUCCUUCUGCACCAGCUACUACCCCUACGUGGAAGAAGUGCUGCCGAUGUGCGACUGUUAUGGGACUGUGGUCAUCGAUGACUGUCCUGCCGUGGGCCUGGUGCUGCCGUGAGUUUCCACUGUGCACCUGCUCUGCCUGUGCAGCCCACGGGCCACACCGUGACCCUCUGACCCUUCCCUCCUGGCCUGCAAGCAGCUUUUCAACAACGUGUCUCUGCAUGAACACAUGCGGGUGAUGGAGGAACUGGUGCGCAGGGACAAGAACCACCCCACCAUCGUGAUGUGGCCUGUGGCUGAGUCUGCAUCCUACUUGGAAUCUGCUGGCUAGUACUUCAAGUGGCUGAGGAGUGGGCCCAGGGCACCUUCAAACUCAACCCCAAUGAUGAGGACAUUCACACAGCCAGUGAGCACCACCUGAAGGUUCACUGAGAGAACGUGGGACAGGCCCUGACCCCGACAUGCUGGCCACUGACCUCUACUACCUUGUCCUCAAAGGGGUGAGUGUGUAGCAGCCAGAGGGAGGGUGAGAAGAUGGGGUGCCCCUCAGAGGGCAGGGAAGCUCAGGAAGGGG